GAUGAACGCUGGCGGCGUGCCUAAUACGUGCAAGUCGAGCGAACAGAUAAGGAGCUUGCUCCUUUGACGUUAGCGGCGGACGGGUGAGUAACACGUGGAUAACCUACCUAUAAGACUGGGAUAACCUCGGGAAACCGGAGCUAAUACCGGAUAACAUAUUGAACCGCAUGGUUCAAUAGUGAAAGGCGGCUUUGCUGUCACUUAUAGAUGGAUCCGCGCCGUAUUAGCUAGUUGGUAAGGUAACGGCUUACCAAGGCAACGAUACGUAGCCGACCUGAGAGGGUGAUCGGCCACACUGGAACUGAGACAUGGUCCAGGCUCCUACGGGAGGCAGCAGUAGGGAAUCUUCCGCAAUGGGCGAAAGCCUGACGGAGCAACGCCGCGUGAGUGAUGAAGGUCUUCGGAUCGUAAAACUCUGUUAUCAGGGAAGAACAAAUGUGUAAGUAACUGUGCACAUCUUGACGGUACCUGAUCAGAAAGCCACGGCUAACUACGUG
This 497-nucleotide ribosomal RNA is filed under the name uncultured bacterium. Its description in RNAcentral is "partial 16S ribosomal RNA". It matches the Rfam family "Bacterial small subunit ribosomal RNA", at positions 28 to 507 of the family's 1533-position model. The record is from RNAcentral.